CCACCUCUUCUGUCGACUAGUGGUGUCUACACCGGGGCUUGGGGUGGCUUAAUUACAUUAAUUACACAGGAUGUGAAAUUUUGUAGUGUUGAACUUAAGGCAACAUAGACCAGCCCUCAGUAACCAACUUCCAUUUCCCCAGGUCUUGCUGAGCCCUCCCCCAAAAUCUCCCCAGGAAGCAGCCUGAGUUUGAAUCAUCUAGAUUCUAUACUGAAAAUCCUGUGUCCACCUCAAUGUCUGUGCAGCACCUGGCACAACAGGGCCUGUCACUGUAUUUAAGGAUUAGAAUAAGGAAAAUAAUAUAAAACAGAGGAAACAAAUCAACCAAAUACAGAAGCCUUGGCGUGCUGCUAAUCCCUUUGCUCAGCCCACAGAAAGUGACAGACUCUGUAAUACUGCAGUAAAUACGUCCCUCUCCGGUCCAGUUCCAGUCUCCUCAGAGCAGCCAGAAGGGAUUGAGAAAGAAGAUGUGCGAAUGCAGCUGAAGAGACAUCAGACCCCCAGCCCGACACAUUGCAGCAAAUCCUCCAAGCGAGCCAAAAUCAAGGUGACCAUUGUCUCCCACGGGGAAGCUGCUGGCACGGGGAAUGGAGCGCCCCUUGUUGCACAGCCGGAAA
Molecule: long non-coding RNA, 617 nt
Organism: Mauremys mutica (yellowpond turtle)
Lineage: Eukaryota; Metazoa; Chordata; Testudines; Geoemydidae
Exons: 2
Source: RefSeq, a predicted model, not a curated record